AAAGAAGAUGUUGUCAUGGCCAAAAGAGAAAUCCUCUCAGCUGUAGAGCACUUCUCUGUGAUUCCUGCAUCUCUAAACAAAAAUGGCCCUGCACUGGGAGGGUUAUAGUGUAGUCAUAAUCUUCCUGGUCAGACCACAGGGUUCAGGGUUCCCUAUCAUGUGCUAGGCCUAGUGAUUGGACCAAAAGGAGCAACAUUAAGAGAAUUCAGACCCACACAUAUACAGUUACUCCAAGCAGAGAUAUGGAGCCAGUUUUUGAAGUCAUGGGGAUACCUAAAAUGUUGACUGAGCAUGAGGAGAAGAAAUAGAAAUGUAUACAGCGAUGUGUACAGGGAACUACAUAGAGCUCAAUAAAGAACAUUAUUUCCAUUAUAACAGUACUGAUGUGAGCUUUGAAAGUGGCGCUCUUGGCUCUACAUGGCUCUCCUCCAAUCGAGUUUCUCCAAGCCAAGCAAGAAUGAUGUCCAACUGUUGAAAUGAUAGUUUUAGUUCUCUAGGAAGUGGUUCCAUUGAUUCCUAUUUUGGAAGCAAUAAGCUAGCAGCUGACUUUAGUCCAACAAGCCCAUUUAGCACAGGAAACUUUUGGUUUGGAGCCUACACUACCAUUUGUAGGCUCAGAAGAUCUUGCAGCAGACUCUCCUGCCUUUGACUCUUUACUAACACCUGCUCAAACUAGCUGGACUCCAUUUGAGCUAGCUAACUCAUUCUCUGGCUUUGGCAGUGAUCCAUCUGGUAACAUGAAUACUCAGUACAGAGGAAGUCACCCUCUACUCUUCGUCUGUCUCCUACAUUUCCUGAAAGCAUAGAACACCCACUUGCUCAAUGGGUUAGGAGUGACCCAACUAGGACAAGCAACCAUGUUGGCCUUCCAAUAUACAUCCCUGAUUUUUCUAAUGGUACUAAUAGUUACCAUUCCAAUGGUGGUUCCACCUCUAGCUCACCUCCAGAAUCUAGAAGAAAACACAACUGUAUGAUUCGCUGUGAAAAGGAAGAUAUUGCUGCCCUAGUUCCAUGUGACCACAACCUCUUCUGCAUGGAAUGUGCCAACAAGAUCUGUGAAAAGAGAAUGCCAUCAUGUCCAGCUUGCCCCACAGUUAUUACUCAGGCAAUCCAAAUUCAUUCUUAAAUACAUAUACUAUAUCUCUACAUGGAAUCAUAAAGACAUGGAUAUAAUGGUACCCCCAGUAAACUUCCUAAUGAAUACUUAUGACUGUUAUCAGGCUUUAUUGGGAUUAGGCUAAAGUUGUUCAGUACACUUAUAAAAGGAUGCUAUGGUAACAUUAUACUAAAGUAGUCUCUCGUCUGUUAGUUUUGUUUGAAUUAUUAAUACUAUAUUAUAGACUCAGAGACAUAGCUUGUUAAAGCUGAGGUUGUACUUGGCUGUGUAACCUAUGAGCAAAAUGUAUCCAUCUGAGAUUGUAGUCAGUGGGUCCCAAAGCCUAGCCGCAUUAAGAGUUUAUGGAGUGUGCCUUGUAUCACAGAUGAUUGAUACUUCCAGUGCUUCCUUCUUCAUACUGUCAAUUUUGACAAAAACAAGUUUGUUUUUUAUUUUACAUCAACUUCUACCUAAUUCUGCAGGAUUGAAAGUAAUUUUUAAAGCUUUGUGAUUGCUUAUUAGUAAUAAUAGGACCAAUGGCAGUUUACUAGAUCACUGGUUGUAAUUUGGGACAAAAACUGCUACAAUGAUUUUCAUCUCACCCAGAGUGUUUAAGGCUGAUAUGUUCAGUGGAUCAGGAAUACAAUUGUCUUUGAUUGUGAAUUCCUACCCAUUGCAUCUCUCAGUGAAUGUGGAAAUGGCCACCUGGGUUUUUCCAUUUCAGGAUGGACUUUGGAAGCACCUGUAUUGGCUGAAAAUUUGAGAAUGCAACCAUUCCAUUCAUUAGUCUGAUAGAGCUAUUAAUUAAUAUUUAGACUCUAACUCAAAAUGUGAAACAGUUUUGUUCAAUUCAUAUUUAUCUUGCACAUUAUAAAUGUAUAUUUUGAUUUUUUAGUAAUGUAUGGGAUAAGGAGGGUGAUAAUAAUGCCCUUGGCAUGAUUCAUGAAAGUAGCUGUGACAACCUCCAAUCACUUUACCUCAUUUCAAACCUAUUUCCAAUCACAAGCAAAGAUUUCUUUAAGAUACAUUUGUACAUUUCACCUGUGGAUGUUUUAAUGUCAUCCUCAGUAUGUCCCCAAAUUUGCUGGUAUU
Mastomys coucha (southern multimammate mouse) is the source of this 2188-nucleotide RNA transcript. It is a transcript of the gene named RNA-binding E3 ubiquitin-protein ligase MEX3C-like, with no coding region annotated. The transcript has a single exon. The record is from RefSeq and is a predicted model, not a curated record. Lineage: Eukaryota; Metazoa; Chordata; Mammalia; Rodentia; Muridae.